This 335-nucleotide ribosomal RNA is filed under the name uncultured bacterium. RNAcentral's name for it is "bacterial SSU rRNA". It matches the Rfam family "Bacterial small subunit ribosomal RNA", at positions 28 to 334 of the family's 1533-position model. The record is from RNAcentral.
GACGAACGCUGGCGGCGUGCCUAAUACAUGCAAGUCGAGCGAGCUUGCCUAGAUGAUUUUAGUGCUUGCACUAAAUGAAACUAGAUACAAGCGAGCGGCGGACGGGUGAGUAACACGUGGGUAACCUGCCCAAGAGACUGGGAUAACGUUCUGAAAAGAACGCUAAUACCGCAUGACAUUCCUUUCUCGCAUGGGGAGGGAAUCAAAGGAGCAAUCCGCUGAGAGAUGGACUCGCGUCCGAUUAGCCAGUUGGCGGGGUAAUGGCCCACCAAAGCGACGAUCGGUAGCCGGACUGAGAGGUUGAACGGCCACAUUGGGACUGAGACACGGCCCAG